This 488-nucleotide long non-coding RNA is filed under the name Oryctolagus cuniculus (rabbit). RNAcentral describes it as "lncRNA (ENSOCUG00000037487.1)". Lineage: Eukaryota; Metazoa; Chordata; Mammalia; Lagomorpha; Leporidae. The record is from RNAcentral.
AUGAGUCCUGGUUGGUAUUGUGUGUUCAUUUUUCUGAAACAAAAGUUGCCCAUUAGAAGUAGCAAAAUUGAGUUUGUAUGCUCUUUAAUGGCCUUUUUUACAGCCAGGAAGACCUUGUUUUUCAGGCCUCGGGAAACUGUUGAUAGAAUGAAAGAGGUCAGAACUGUGACUGGAUCUGGUGGACCAGUGAGUCAUCCAUCACCCAUUCACAACCGUAUCCCGGAUGGAAGAGAGAUGGGAGUGAAUGCAUUUAAUGAGGUGUUCUGUAAACACUGCAAACGCGUAAGGUACAGCCCUUCUCUCAGCGACAUCUUUCCAAUCGAACUCCAGGAAGCCUUUGAGAUUUCCUUCAAUGACUGGAUUUCAUUUCAGUCAUUAGUUAACCCUGCCUAGCGGGUGACCAUGAAUCCCACCAUGCAGAAGUAAACUCAUGACUAUCAUGGUCAGAGAUUGCUCUGAGAAGGCAAAUACUAGAGUUCCUACAAUAG